AUGUCUAAGUAUAAAUUCUUGUACGAUGAAACUGCAGACGGCUCAUUACAACAGUGAUAAACUAAUAGACUUUCGGGUUUUACCUUUUGGAUAACCGCAGUAAAUCGGGGCUAAUACAUAGAAGCGAGGGGUGACUGAUUUAUCGGAAGCUCCGCGAUUAUUAGCAUUCAACCAAUACCCGCAAGGGUUCUGUUGGUGAAACCGAAUAAUAUUGCAGAUCGAAGAUUUAUCUUCGACAAGUCUACUGUGUCACUGCCCUAUCAACUUUCGAUGGUACGGUAUUGGCCUACCAUGGUUGUAACGGGUAACGGGGAAUUAGGGUUCGAUUCCGGAGAGGGAGCCUGAGAAAUGGCUACCACUUCUACGGAAGGCAGCAGGCGCGCAAAUUACUCAAUCCCAAUACGGGGAAGUAGUGACAAUAAAUAUCGAUGCCUAUCCAUUUUUGGAAGGGUAAUUGAAAUGAACACAAAUUAAAACUCUUAAUUAAUACAAUUGGAGGGCAAGUCUGGUGCCAGCAGCCGCGGUAAUUCCAGCUCCAAUAGCAUAUACUAAAGUUGUUGCAGUUAAAAAGCUCGUAGUUGAAGUUAAAGCUUUAUUUGGGUUAAAAAUCCAUUUGCCUUUUAACGGUUAAAUAGGAUUCCAGUAUUGCUUUUUUAAAGUUCAGUUGGUAUUGCCUUUGGUAGUACUUAUUUGGACAUUUCACUGUGAGAAAAUUGUGGUGUUUAAAGCAGGCGUCUCUGUCUGAUCUUUUGCAGCAUGGUAUGAUGGAACAUGACAUUUUGCGCAAUUGGUUGCGAUUAAAGUGUAAUGAUUAAUAGGGAUGGAUGGGGGUGUUCAUAUUGGUGGGCGAGAGGUGAAAUUCGUUGACCCUAUCAAGAUGAACUUCUGCGAAAGCAUUCACCAAAUACUUCCCCAUUAAUCAAGAACGAAAGUUUGGGGAUCGAAGACGAUCAGAUACCGUCGUAGUCCAAACUAUAAACUAUGUCGACCAGGGAUCGGUUAAAUCUUUUUAAAAGUUUAAUCGGCACCUUGUGAGAAAUCACGAGUGUUUAGAUUCCGGGGGGAGUAUGGUCGCAAGUCUGAAACUUAAAGGAAUUGACGGAAGGGCACACAAUGGAGUGGAGCCUGCGGCUUAAUUUGACUCAACUCGGGAAAACUUACCAAGCUAAGAUAUAGUAAGGAUUGACAGACUAAGAGAUCUUUCAUGAUUCUAUAAGUGGUGGUGCAUGGUCGUUCUUAGUUGGUGGAGCGAUUUGUCUGGUCAAUUCCGAUAACGGACGAGACCUCGACCUGCUAACUAGUAGUAUUUAUUGGCCGUUAUGGAUGAUAGCUAUUCGGGGUUUGGAAGGGUUUCGGCUCUCUCCGCUUCGUGUGGUGUGUAAUCUGGUCGGAUAGGUACGAAUUAAAACUUCUUAGAGGGACUACCUGCCUCAAGCAGGCGGAAGUCCGAGGCAAUAACAGGUCUGUGAUGCCCUUAGAUACCUUGGGCCGCACGCGCGCUACAAUGUAGAAAGCAAAAAGGUUCCUGGUCCGGAAGGAUUGGGUAAUCAAUUGAAUUUUCUACGUAACUGGGAUUGAUCUUUGUAAUUAUUGAUCAUCAACGAGGAAUUCCUUGUAAGCGUAAGUCAUUACCUUAUGCUGAAUAUGUCCCUGCCCUUUGUACACACCGCCCGUCGCUCCUACCGAUCGAAUGAUACGGUAAAGCCAACGGAUAAGAUCCUUUUGGGCAACCAAUUGGAUUUUAAAAGUUGUUUAAAU
This 1758-nucleotide ribosomal RNA is filed under the name Polysphondylium sp. RNAcentral's name for it is "SSU rRNA". It matches the Rfam family "Eukaryotic small subunit ribosomal RNA". The record is from RNAcentral. Lineage: Eukaryota; Evosea; Eumycetozoa; Dictyosteliales; Dictyosteliaceae.